AAGAUUUCAGUGAAAGAAAGAGUACAUUACUUUUUAAUGAUAUAGAAAGCGCUAGUUGAUGAGAAAGCGUCAUUAAAAGUAUUGGAAAGUAGUUCUGGAGAGAAUCAGUGGUUUGGAUAAUGAAGCAUUGAUCGGUCACGACCGUUAUAUCGUAUGGCUAUCGGCAUUGCGCCCGUAGUUAAGAUAGAGAUAGCUAGUUUAGUUUUGCUAGUUAAACGACGGUGGUACCGCGAGAAUUCGCCCGUUAA
Molecule: non-coding RNA, 248 nt
Filed under: Leuconostoc pseudomesenteroides
Lineage: Bacteria; Bacillati; Bacillota; Bacilli; Lactobacillales; Lactobacillaceae
Description: T-box sequence
Rfam family: T-box leader
About the family: Uncharged tRNA acts as the effector for transcription antitermination of genes in the T-box leader family. T-boxes are found upstream of many aminoacyl-tRNA synthetase genes and some amino acid biosynthetic genes usually in Gram-positive bacteria. The anticodon of a specific tRNA base pairs to a specifier sequence within the T-box motif, and the NCCA acceptor tail of the tRNA base pairs to a conserved bulge in the T-box antiterminator hairpin.
Source: RNAcentral